UACGAAGGGGGCUAGCGUUGUUCGGAAUCACUGGGCGUAAAGCGCACGUAGGCGGCUCUUUAAGUCAGGGGUGAAAUCCCAAGGCUCAACCUUGGAACUGCCUUUGAUACUGGGGAUCUCGAGUCCGGAAGAGGUGAGUGGAACUGCGAGUGUAGAGGUGAAAUUCGUAGAUAUUCGCAAGAACGCCAGUGGCGAAGGCGGCUCACUGGUCCGGUACUGACGCUGAGGUGCGAAAGCGUGGGGAGCAAACAGG
This 253-nucleotide ribosomal RNA is filed under the name uncultured bacterium. RNAcentral's name for it is "partial 16S ribosomal RNA". It matches the Rfam family "Bacterial small subunit ribosomal RNA", at positions 524 to 776 of the family's 1533-position model. The record is from RNAcentral.